This 253-nucleotide ribosomal RNA is filed under the name uncultured bacterium. Its description in RNAcentral is "partial 16S ribosomal RNA". It matches the Rfam family "Bacterial small subunit ribosomal RNA", at positions 524 to 776 of the family's 1533-position model. The record is from RNAcentral.
UACGUAGGGGGCUAGCGUUGUCCGGAAUCAUUGGGCGUAAAGCGCGCGUAGGCGGCCCGGUAAGUCCGCUGUGAAAGUCAAAGGCUCAACCUUUGAAUGUCAGCGGAUACUGCCGGGCUAGAGUCCGGAAGAGGCGAGUGGAACUCCUGGUGUAGCGGUGGAAUGCGCAGAUAUCAGGAAGAACACCAACGGCGAAGGCAGCUCGCUGGGACGGAACUGACGCUAAGGCGCGAAAGUGUGGGGAGCGAACAGG